AUCGAAAUGGAAGUUGUGAUUUUUGUGGUCAAGAAGAGACGGGGGGUGUUUAAAGUUAGCGUCCCGAUCCACACUCCAUUCCAGUAGAUGGCGGUAAUGCACAUCUAAAAGUUGCUUGCCAACCGCCAUAAAAAAGAAGAAGAAGAA
Long non-coding RNA from Fundulus heteroclitus (mummichog), 147 nucleotides. RefSeq lists it as uncharacterized. The record is from RefSeq and is a predicted model, not a curated record. Lineage: Eukaryota; Metazoa; Chordata; Actinopteri; Cyprinodontiformes; Fundulidae. The transcript has 2 exons.